GUAUACUGGUUAGUACAUUGCUUUGUGGCCGCAAUAACCCAGGUUCGAAUCCUGG
This is a non-coding RNA of Nematostella vectensis (starlet sea anemone), 55 nucleotides long. NCBI's taxonomy places the organism in Eukaryota, Metazoa, Cnidaria, Anthozoa, Actiniaria, Edwardsiidae. The record is from Rfam.